This 435-nucleotide ribosomal RNA is filed under the name uncultured bacterium. RNAcentral's name for it is "bacterial SSU rRNA". It matches the Rfam family "Bacterial small subunit ribosomal RNA", at positions 8 to 448 of the family's 1533-position model. The record is from RNAcentral.
AGAGUUUGAUCAUGGCUCAGGAUGAAUGCUGACAGAAUGCUUAACACAUGCAAGUCUACUUGAUCCUUCGGGUGAAGGUGGCGGACGGGUGAGUAACGCGUAAAGAACUUGCCUUACAGACUGGGACAACAUUUGGAAACGAAUGCUAAUACCGGAUAUUAUGACUGAGUCGCAUGAUUUGGUUAUGAAAGCUAUAUGCGCUGUGAGAGAGCUUUUUUGCGUCCCAUUAGUUAGUUGGUGAGGUAACGGCUCACCAAGACGAUGAUGGGUAGCCGGCCUGAGAGGGUGAACGGCCACAAGGGGACUGAGACACGGCCCUUACUCCUACGGGAGGCAGCAGUGGGGAAUAUUGGACAAUGGACCAAAAGUCUGAUCCAGCAAUUCUGUGUGCACGAUGAAGUUUUUCGGAAUGUAAAGUGCUUUCACUUGGGAAGA